Molecule: long non-coding RNA, 483 nt
Organism: Salmo salar (Atlantic salmon)
Lineage: Eukaryota; Metazoa; Chordata; Actinopteri; Salmoniformes; Salmonidae
Source: RefSeq, a predicted model, not a curated record
UGGGCUUUUAAACCAACACCAGGGCAACAAGGCAGAGCAAAAACAGAGGAUUUCUUUCUUCAGGGAAUCUCAAUUCACAUAGGAUGCCUCCUACACAUACCUUUGGUAUGGAUAAGAAGGCCACUCCUGUGUUUGGAAAACAAUGGAAGCAAACUUUGCAGAGAGAGGUGGAGGGUGGAGGUGGAGGAAGACCUAGACCUAGACCUAGAACGAGGACAGUAAUCUCUGAUGCAAUUCAGGCUGUGGUAGACCAUGUGGUCAACCAUGGUUUGACCUUGAGAGAGGCUGGGCAGAGAGUGGAGCCCAAUCUGAGCCACUUCACCGUAGCAUCCAUCAUCCGGAAGUUCCAAAAUGAGAAUAGAACUGAAAGACAACCACCACGUGGGUGCUAGAACACGUCUAUUUACAGACGAACAGGAGGCUGCCCAUUGUGCAAAUGGUAGUUGAAAAUAAUGCCAUUAAACUGCAGGAAAUCCAACAACA